RNAcentral lists this ribosomal RNA (276 nucleotides) under uncultured prokaryote. RNAcentral describes it as "partial 16S ribosomal RNA". It matches the Rfam family "Bacterial small subunit ribosomal RNA", at positions 524 to 800 of the family's 1533-position model. The record is from RNAcentral.
UACGUAGGGGGCUAGCGUUAUCCGGAAUUACUGGGCGUAAAGGGUGCGUAGGCGGUCUUUCAAGCCAGAAGUGAAAGGCUACGGCUCAACCGUAGUAAGCUUUUGGAACUGUAAGACUUGAGUGCAGGAGAGGAGAGUGGAAUUCCUAGUGUAGCGGUGAAAUGCGUAGAUAUUAGGAGGAACACCAGUAGCGAAGGCGGCUUUCUGGACAGUAACUGACGCUGAGGCGCGAAAGCGUGGGUAGCGAACAGGAUUAGAUACCCUGGUAGUCCCUGA